This 769-nucleotide ribosomal RNA is filed under the name fungal sp. RNAcentral describes it as "eukaryotic LSU rRNA". The stretch from base 475 to 769 matches the Rfam family "Eukaryotic large subunit ribosomal RNA", at positions 1 to 299 of the family's 3401-position model. Lineage: Eukaryota; Fungi. The record is from RNAcentral.
UUACCGAGUUUACAACUCCCAAACCCCUGUGAACAUACCAAUUGUUGCCUCGGCGGAUCAGCCCGCUCCCGGUAAAACGGGACGGCCCGCCAGAGGACCCCUAAACUCUGUUUCUAUAUGUAACUUCUGAGUAAAACCAUAAAUAAAUCAAAACUUUCAACAACGGAUCUCUUGGUUCUGGCAUCGAUGAAGAACGCAGCAAAAUGCGAUAAGUAAUGUGAAUUGCAGAAUUCAGUGAAUCAUCGAAUCUUUGAACGCACAUUGCGCCCGCCAGUAUUCUGGCGGGCAUGCCUGUUCGAGCGUCAUUUCAACCCUCAAGCCCCCGGGUUUGGUGUUGGGGAUCGGCGAGCCCUUGCGGCAAGCCGGCCCCGAAAUCUAGUGGCGGUCUCGCUGCAGCUUCCAUUGCGUAGUAGUAAAACCCUCGCAACUGGUACGCGGCGCGGCCAAGCCGUUAAACCCCCAACUUCUGAAUGUUGACCUCGGAUCAGGUAGGAAUACCCGCUGAACUUAAGCAUAUCAAUAAGCGGAGGAAAAGAAACCAACAGGGAUUGCCCUAGUAACGGCGAGUGAAGCGGCAACAGCUCAAAUUUGAAAUCUGGCUCUCGGGCCCGAGUUGUAAUUUGUAGAGGAUACUUUUGAUGCGGUGCCUUCCGAGUUCCCUGGAACGGGACGCCAUAGAGGGUGAGAGCCCCGUCUGGUUGGAUGCCAAAUCUCUGUAAAGUUCCUUCGACGAGUCGAGUAGUUUGGGAAUGCUGCUCUAAAUGGGAGG